RNAcentral lists this long non-coding RNA (251 nucleotides) under Brassica rapa (field mustard). RNAcentral describes it as "long non-coding RNA (BRAP_LNC002563)". The record is from RNAcentral. Lineage: Eukaryota; Viridiplantae; Streptophyta; Magnoliopsida; Brassicales; Brassicaceae.
GCGGUUAGAGCGGUUUGGGUGAUUGUUUCAAAACGCUAACAACGCUACCAACAGCAAAAGCUGCGUUUGCGGGUGUUAGCGGGAAAACCUAGUCAUACCUUUAAUUAUAGAUGAUACUUAGCACUAGAAAAAAAAACAUUUUCAGUUACUAUAAAAAACAUUUUGACAAAAAAAAACUCUGCAAAAGCAGGCGAUACUCUUGUUCUGUGACAAUAUAAUUCAUGAAAUCCGUAUAGCUGACACACCACUAC